GGCAGAAGGUAAAAAAAUCCUCGAUUUUUUCUUAAAAGUAUAAAUGAGCCCUUUUACUUUUCUUAGGCACAAUUAAAUACUCGUGUUUUUAAAAUUGAACAAUUAAACCCUCGUUAUUUUAAAAUCGAAUAAAUAAACCUUUAUAGUUAUUUUUGGGACACUUAUCCCCUCAAAGUUUUGAUAAAUAAUUUAGAUAUUAAAAUUAUUUUUGAAAUUUUUUCCUAUAUAAUUAUGAGAGAUAUGUCAGCCAUUAACGAGUGUUUCUAAUAGUGUUGGACGAUAGGGUUUAUUUGUUUUAUUUGAAAACAAAGAGGGCUUAAUUAUACCCAAAAAAAGUAAAAGGGUUGAUUUGUACAUUUGUAAUAACUACGAGGUUUUUUUUACCAUAAUAUGUAUAUUAAAGGCCACCAGGAGUGGCAAAAGACCGACGAUCAAAGCUUUCGCACAACAAGUGAUUUACAAAGAAGCACAUUAAAAGCAUAGGUAAAGAGCGGCGGAACAAAAAUCAAAGGUCUGAGAACAAAAUACAUCAUACUCUCUUGCUAAUAAUUUAUCAGUUGGAUCGGGCUCAUUUUUGGAUAUGAUGUGCACGACAAAAAGUUGACCGUUGGAUCAAAAUUUGAGGCGCUUUGGAGGAGUGAUGGAGUGCACAAUCGUGCACUCAAGUGCACAAACUUGCACUGUGCUGUUACGGGAUUUCAGGUAUUUAAAUAGACCUCUUACGUUUUUAAAAUCCUAUUUUUCAUAGUCUAUUGUUUUCUAUCAACCCUAGCCGACUCAAACACUCUGAAAUAUUCUACCAUCAUCCCUUAUCAUUAGCUUUCGCAUUCGCGAAUUUCUGAGAUUGUUGCUACGUUACAUCAGUAGGCUAUAUCCUCCUUAAUCUCUACGCUUCGAAAUCAAUUAAGACCCGUCGACUGCUCGUACUUCGGAGUCUACGCAGGUUAGCUGUUUGCAAAAAUUCACGUGGAUAAGCAAACAAUUGGAACGAGCUGCUCGAUAGGCUUGUAUCGAGACUGUGUGCACCGGUUUAUGAUUUGAAAGCUGGUCCACUCCGAUCCUUUUGAUUCCUCGAAGGUUUUAUGUUAUUAAACUAGUCAUUGUUUUCGAACUCUUAGACCGCAGUAGAACUAGUUUAUAUAUUACUUUGUUUAUUGUAUAUUGGGAUUGUCGGUUUGUCUGAUUGUUUAUUGGAAUGUUUACUCUGGAUUAUUUUAUUAUUAUAUUUAAGGCA
Molecule: long non-coding RNA, 1234 nt
Organism: Mercurialis annua (annual mercury)
Lineage: Eukaryota; Viridiplantae; Streptophyta; Magnoliopsida; Malpighiales; Euphorbiaceae
Exons: 6
Source: RefSeq, a predicted model, not a curated record